This 74-nucleotide transfer RNA is filed under the name Candidatus Omnitrophota bacterium. Its description in RNAcentral is "Candidatus Omnitrophica bacterium (groundwater metagenome) tRNA-Ile". It matches the Rfam family "tRNA". Rfam says of the family: Transfer RNA (tRNA) molecules are approximately 80 nucleotides in length. Their secondary structure includes four short double-helical elements and three loops (D, anti-codon, and T loops). Lineage: Bacteria; Pseudomonadati; Candidatus Omnitrophota. The record is from RNAcentral.
GGGCCCUUAGCUCAGCCGGUUAGAGCAGCGCACUCAUAAUGCGCGGGUCGGUGGUUCGAGUCCACCAGGGCCCA